This is a small nucleolar RNA of Cannabis sativa, 95 nucleotides long. RefSeq annotates it as small nucleolar RNA snR60/Z15/Z230/Z193/J17. The transcript has a single exon. The record is from RefSeq and is a predicted model, not a curated record. NCBI's taxonomy places the organism in Eukaryota, Viridiplantae, Streptophyta, Magnoliopsida, Rosales, Cannabaceae.
AUUGGUCGGAUGAUGAUUUUUUUAUGCAUAGUUCAGAUGAAAUUCUGUGAUUACAAUGUUACUUUUUAGUCUUUCGCUCCUAUCUGACGACUAAU